GAUGAAGAACGCAGCGAAAUGCGAUAAGUAAUGUGAAUUGCAGAAUUCAGUGAAUGAUCGAAUCUUUGAACGCACAUUGCGCCCGUCAGUAUUCUGGCGGGCAUGCCUGUUCGAGCGUCAUUACGCCCCUCAAGUCCCCUGUGGACUUGGUGUUGGGGAUCGGCGAGGCUGGUUUUCCAGCACAGCCGUCCCUUAAAUUAAUUGGCGGUCUCGCCGUGGCCCUCCUCUGCGCAGUAGUAAAACACUCGCAACAGGAGCCCGGCGCGGUCCACUGCCGUAAAACCCCCCAACUUUUUAUAGUUGACCUCGAAUCAGGUAGGACUACCCGCUGAACUUAAGCAUAUCAAUAAGCGGAGGA
Molecule: unclassified non-coding RNA, 358 nt
Filed under: soil metagenome
Description: partial contains 5.8S ribosomal RNA, internal transcribed spacer 2, and large subunit ribosomal RNA
Rfam family: 5.8S ribosomal RNA (bases 1-120)
Source: RNAcentral